UCUGUCAAAGUCAAAUUAAAAGGUUUACAUUACAGUAUGUCAAAUCGUUAAAAUAAGCAAGAAAUAAAUUCAAAAUAAUACGAAAAUAUCGUAUUGAUUUAAUUUAAUGAAUUUGUGAUUUAUGAUUUUGCGAUAACAUUAACAAUACUGAUAUUAAAUUAAUCUUUACAUUGUGUUAAUUAUAACUCCAAAGGUAACCAUAAAUCUAACAAUGCUCAAAGGAGUGGUAAGUUUGAAAUUAUAAUAUUUGGCUCUGGUGUAUACACUGGAGUAUAUAUAGCUCAAAAUUAUCAGUUUCCAGGACCUAGACGAAAACCCUAAGUCAUAAAAAUCUCACGGACAAUAAUCAUGAAGAGAAAAUUCUGUUUUAAAAGGACAUUACAGCAGGUCUGAUUCAAUAUGCAUGUAAGAAAAAAAUUGAACAAUGUGACAAGGCCAUAGAAAAAAAGAAAUGAUAGACAAAGUGGAGGAUCCGAAGGUAUUAUUCGAAAAAGCACAAGCUUUUAUCAAAGACAAAAUGGGUGAUUGCAAAAAAGGAGGAAAGGACUAAAUUUAAUAAUUGUAAUAUCUGUCUGUAAAUACCAUUUAUUAGCUCUAUACAAUGAUAAUUUAAAUAAAUACAUGAAAAAAUAUUGUUUAUUAUUACUUGGUUCACAGUAAA
Amyelois transitella is the source of this 661-nucleotide long non-coding RNA. RefSeq lists it as uncharacterized. The transcript has 5 exons. The record is from RefSeq and is a predicted model, not a curated record. Lineage: Eukaryota; Metazoa; Arthropoda; Insecta; Lepidoptera; Pyralidae.